RNAcentral lists this ribosomal RNA (433 nucleotides) under uncultured bacterium. Its description in RNAcentral is "partial 16S ribosomal RNA". It matches the Rfam family "Bacterial small subunit ribosomal RNA", at positions 29 to 507 of the family's 1533-position model. The record is from RNAcentral.
AACGAACGCUGGCGGCAUGCCUAACACAUGCAAGUCGAACGAGACCUCCGGGCCUAGUGGCGCACGGGUGCGUAACGCGUGGGAACCUGCCCUUAGGUUCGGAAUAACUCCCCGUAAGGGGAGCUAAUACCGGUUAAUGUAUUCGGACCAAAGAUUUAUCGCUUUUGGAUGGGCGCUGGUUGGUUUGGGUGGUUGGUAGGGUAAUAGCCUAUCAAGGCGACGAUGCAUAGCUGGUCGGGGAGGAUGAUCAGCCACACUGGGGCUGAGGCACGGCCCAGACUCCUAGGGAAGGCAGCGGUGGGGUGUAUUAGAGGAUGAGCGAAAGCCUGGUCCAGCAGUGCCGCGUGAGUGAUGAAGGCCUUAGGGUUGUAAAGCUCUUUUACCCGGGAUGAUAAUGACAGUACCGGGAGAAUAAGCUCCGGCUAACUCCGUG